Molecule: ribosomal RNA, 285 nt
Filed under: Triticum aestivum (bread wheat)
Lineage: Eukaryota; Viridiplantae; Streptophyta; Magnoliopsida; Poales; Poaceae
Description: partial small subunit ribosomal RNA
Source: RNAcentral
AUGUCGCCCUCGGAGGACAUCUCACUUCCUUUCAAACUUAAGAGGAAACAGUUCCCCAUUCGCCUGAGUUUUGUGAUGACAACUAACAAGGCGCAGGGUCAGACUAUCCCAAACGUCGGUAUUUACCUUCCCGAGCCAGUAUUCUCACAUGGUCAGCUAUAUGUUGCAUUGUCAAGGGGAGUGUCCAGAGAGACGACGCGGAUUUUGGCCAAGCCAAACAACGAGGUUGAUAAAUCUGGGAAAAGCACCAAGAACAUUGUCUAUAGAGAUGUUUUGGGGAGAUGA